GAGAUAUUAGUAAAAAUCAUUACAUAACUUUGUCAAAGUUAAAUUAUAGAACUAAAUCUAUAUAUCUUA
Molecule: transfer RNA, 69 nt
Filed under: Arvicanthis somalicus
Lineage: Eukaryota; Metazoa; Chordata; Mammalia; Rodentia; Muridae
Description: tRNA-Asp
Source: RNAcentral